CUUGGAGGAAACAGAGCCGGCUAGCAAUCCAGUGUGAAAGCUACUAACCGCGCGGAGUUUAUCACAGGCCUGUCCUCCCGCGACCCCACUCAAGAUGUGAAAGUGUGCCCUAUUCGGAGAAGCUCCUCAGAAAGACACUAUGGGGAAAGGGAGGCAGUCAUACAUGGAGUAAUGGAGAUUUGAUUUGAACUUUAUCAGGAAAGAAGGAAGGAAAAGGGAGAAGGAAGACAGACCCUGCAGGGCUGUGGAGCAUGGACUGGGCCGCAGUGAGGAGACCAGGACUCUCUGGGAGACAUUUAGGAAACGACUAAAGCAAGGUGGAUUCCAUCAUGUCAUCUGCAAAUAAUAAAGAUCUCCCUAAGUUACUGAAGACCUCGCUAAAUGGCUGAGACUGGCCUGGAACUUGUGAUCCUCCUGUCUCAGGCUCCCAAGUCUCUGGAAUUACAAGUAUGUGCCAUCACACCCAGCUCCCUUGGGCUUGCUAUAUGUUCCAUCAGAAUAGUGACCUAAACAUGAUUGGAGUGUGGGUCAUGGAAAUCAGCUGGCAUAUCUGUUACAUAGCGGCCUAGAGCACUUGAGGACUUUUUUCUUGGAUUUCCUCUCAAAACUGCAGCCUUUCAGGUAACUGAAAUUAUCUUUCAGGUAAAUGGGCAGAUAUAAGACACCCAAACAUGGGGUAUGUUGCCUCAGAAUUCCAAGAAGGCAGCCAAAUACUAUAUUUCAACUAAUCUAAGAUGUCUUCAGUUGUAAAGUACACUACUGAUAUUCCACUGUGAAUAAUUUUUUUAAAUGCUGUCAAUAAAACCAUGAUAUGCCAUUGAUCGUGGGAUACACUGGCAUAUUAAAACGGGGGGGAUGAUGACAACCUUAUAAAUGCACUAAAUGCCACUGAAUUUUUCACUUUAAAAUGGUUAAUUUUACAUUGUAUAUAUUUCAUCUCAAUAAAUAACUUAUGUCCUUUAGAAUCAAUGAUAUUU
Non-coding RNA from Ictidomys tridecemlineatus (thirteen-lined ground squirrel), 977 nucleotides. The record is from RefSeq and is a predicted model, not a curated record. NCBI's taxonomy places the organism in Eukaryota, Metazoa, Chordata, Mammalia, Rodentia, Sciuridae.